GACGAACGCUGGCGGCGUGCUUAACACAUGCAAGUCGAACGGAAAGGCCCUGCUUGCAGGGUACUCGAGUGGCGAACGGGUGAGUAACACGUGGGUGAUCUGCCCUGCACUUCGGGAUAAGCUUGGGAAACUGGGUCUAAUACCGGAUAGGAGCCAUCUUUAGUGUGGUGGUUGGAAAGUUUUUUCGGUGUAGGAUGAGCUCGCGGCCUAUCAGCUUGUUGGUGGGGUAAUGGCCUACCAAGGCGGCGACGGGUAGCCGGCCUGAGAGGGUGUACGGCCACAUUGGGACUGGGAUACGGCCCAGACUCCUACGGGAGGCAGAAGUGGGGAAUAUUGCACAAUGGGCGCAAGCCUGAUGCAGCGACGCCGCGUGGGGGAUGAAGGCCUUCGGGUUGUAAACUCCUUUCGCUAGGGACGAAGCGUUUUUGUGACGGUACCUAGAUAAGAAGCACCGGCUAACUACGUG
This 466-nucleotide ribosomal RNA is filed under the name uncultured bacterium. RNAcentral's name for it is "partial 16S ribosomal RNA". It matches the Rfam family "Bacterial small subunit ribosomal RNA", at positions 28 to 507 of the family's 1533-position model. The record is from RNAcentral.